UCGAGGAUUUUUCGCAAUGGGCGCAAGCCUGACGAAGCGACGCCGUGUGAGUGAUGAAGGCCUUCGGGUUGUAAAGCUCUUUCGCCUGGGAACAAGAAAGGUAUAUGAAUAGUAUGCCGAUUUGAGGGUACCAGGUAAAGAAGCACCGGCUAACUCCGUGCCAGCAGCUGCGGUAAUACGGAGGGUGCAAGCAUUAAUCGGAUUUAUUGGGCGUAAAGGGCGCGUAGGCGGGUUGGUAAGUCAGAUGUGAAAUUCCGAGGCUCAACCUCGGAGCUGCAUUUGAAACUGCCGAUCUUGAGGAGUGGCGGAGAAAACGGAAUUCCACGUGUAGCGGUGAAAUGCGUAGAUAUGUGGAGGAACACCGGUGGCGAAAGCGGUUUUCUAGCUUAAACCUGACGCUGAGGCGCGAGAGCAAGGGGAGCAAACAGGAUUAGAUACCCCUGUAGUCC
This 449-nucleotide ribosomal RNA is filed under the name uncultured bacterium. RNAcentral describes it as "bacterial SSU rRNA". It matches the Rfam family "Bacterial small subunit ribosomal RNA", at positions 355 to 796 of the family's 1533-position model. The record is from RNAcentral.